GAUGAACGCUGGCGGCGUGCCUAAUACAUGCAAGUCGAGCGAACGGACGAGAAGCUUGCUUCUCUGAUGUUAGUGGCGGACGGGUGAGUAACACGUGGAUAACCUACCUAUAAGACUGGGAUAACUUCGGGAAACCGGAGCUAAUACCGGAUGAUAUUUUGAACCGCAUGGUUCAAAAGUGAAAGACGGUCUUGCUGUCACUUAUAGAUGGAUCCGCGCUGCAUUAGCUAGUUGGUAAGGUAACGGCUUACCAAGGCAACGAUGCAUAGCCGACCUGAGAGGGUGAUCGGCCACACUGGAACUGAGACACGGUCCAGACUCCUACGGGAGGCAGCAGUAGGGAAUCUUCCGCAAUGGGCGAAAGCCUGACGGAGCAACGCCGCGUGAGUGAUGAAGGUCCUCGGAUCGUAAAACUCUGUUAUUAGGGAAGAACAUAUGUGUAAGUAACUGUGCACAUCUUGACGGUACCUAAUCAGAAAGCCACGGCUAACUACGUG
Molecule: ribosomal RNA, 497 nt
Filed under: uncultured bacterium
Lineage: Bacteria
Description: partial 16S ribosomal RNA
Rfam family: Bacterial small subunit ribosomal RNA
Source: RNAcentral